This 420-nucleotide ribosomal RNA is filed under the name uncultured bacterium. RNAcentral describes it as "bacterial SSU rRNA". It matches the Rfam family "Bacterial small subunit ribosomal RNA", at positions 357 to 775 of the family's 1533-position model. The record is from RNAcentral.
AGGAAUAUUGGUCAAUGGGCGUAAGCCUGAACCAGCCAAGUCGCGUGAGGGAGGACGGCCCUACGGGUUGUAAACCUCUUUUGCCGGGGGACAAACGGCGGCACGCGUGCCGUCCUGAGGGUACCCGGAGAAAAAGCAUCGGCUAACUCCGUGCCAGCAGCCGCGGUAAUACGGAGGAUGCGAGCGUUAUCCGGAUUUAUUGGGUUUAAAGGGUGCGUAGGCGGGAUGCCAAGUCAGCGGUCAAAUACGGGGGCUCAACCCCGGCGAGCCGUUGAAACUGUCGGACUAGAGACGGCGAGAAGUACGCGGAAUGCGCGGUGUAGCGGUGAAAUGCAUAGAUAUCGCGCAGAACUCCGAUUGCGAAGGCAGCGUACCGGCGCCGGCCUGACGCUGAGGCACGAAAGCGUGGGUAUCGAACAG